AGGAUGCAGGUGUAUAGGUGGAGACACCACAGCCGAGCAUUACUAAUUGCCCGAGGCUUUC
This 61-nucleotide ribosomal RNA is filed under the name Bacteroides sp. An269. RNAcentral describes it as "partial 23S ribosomal RNA". The record is from RNAcentral. Lineage: Bacteria; Pseudomonadati; Bacteroidota; Bacteroidia; Bacteroidales; Bacteroidaceae.